Molecule: long non-coding RNA, 5373 nt
Filed under: Canis lupus familiaris (dog)
Lineage: Eukaryota; Metazoa; Chordata; Mammalia; Carnivora; Canidae
Description: lncRNA (ENSCAFG00845006872.1)
Source: RNAcentral
UUUUUUUUUUUUUUUUUUUUACAAUUGAGUUUCUAAUGAAAACUUACUUCUUGAACACAUCUGCCUUCCAUUUCACUUGGUGCCUUUUUAGAGAGCUUAUAUUCUAUAUUAUAAAUAUAAAAUAUUUAUAUAUGACCUUAUAUUUUAGGUCAUAAGCGCUUUCUUAUAUCCUAAAAGGACAUUCAGUACAUGAGACCAGAUUGUUCUCACAGCUCAGAGGUACUACCAUCAAGAAAAACAUGGAGUUAUCUUGCAGUUGGAAAGAGAAACCCCAGGAAAGCUGUAUAGAAUUUGAAUGAGGGCACAAUGUUUGAUCUGACAAAUGAAUAUAUUUUGCAGUCCAAGUAAUUCCCUAGCAUUGUUAGCUUUUACAUUUAGGCUCUACUUAGAGUUAAACAAAGAACAAGGUCUCUGAGGAAGAAAUUAAUGCUGUGCCAUCUAUGGUGGAUAGAUGGGGGAUUCUGUAAGCAGGAUGGUCACAGACAUUUAUGUGGUUUGUGCAUUACACGGAGACUCCUGACCAAAGAAGUAGACUCAAGCUUAUGCUCUGCUUACAUGUCAUGUCCCUACUACCACUUUCCUGUACACCAAGUACUUUCUUUUCACCAAGUUAUCCAGACGCAGGGCUGUACCCAUCCAGAAAGAUAACCUUUUUUUUUUUUUUCCUAAUUUACAGAAAGGAGUGCUCAGUUCAGCAGCAGAUAUUCUAAUUUACAGAAAGGUGACUUAGGGGCUAGAAACAAGCCUUGAGAAGGAGCAAGCUCUACCUCUUUCAUAUAGAAUAUGAGCUAUUUUCUUAAUCAUAACUUUUUUCCUUCAUAUUUGAUGAGUCAUUAUGAAUUGAGUUAAUUUUAUGUAUUUAUGAAUAUUUGUAAAUAUUCAUACUACAAAAUGGUGGAUGUUAGCUUGGAUAGGAAAUUAGUGUUAUGAAAAGUCAUUUGUCUGUUUCUCUAAUUGAUAAAGAUCAUUUAAAAAAAGAUCAUUUUAUGCUUAUUCAAAGAGAGCAAAAUACUAAUAAUCUCAAUAUUAAUAUUUUUGAAAUUGUUAAGUAUUUCAUGUACCUAUGAUAUCUAAAAUGCUAAAAAAUAUUUUGUAUGGAUUAUUCUGCUGUUUUUAGACUCAGAAAUCGAAAUUUAGCCAAGGCUUAUCACUUUAUCAACAAUAAAUUUCUACCUGAAUCUCUGCAAUUUUUGUAGGAUUUUCUGGACUAUUCUUUUUGAUUACAAUGUUCAUAUGCAUUACUCUGUGGCUAUUUUACUUUUAAUUAGGUUUGUUUGAAAAAGCUAAUUACAUGCUAUUCAUUUUCUUUCACUUACAAAUUUAAUCACAACAGAUUCUCAGUGAACCAAGAGGCAAAUAUUCUGUUAAUAAACAUAUCAUAAAACAUAAAAGUAAGGCUUUAGUAGUAUAUUUUCCAAUGUGCUGUCAGAUUUAUAUAUAUUCUGUUAUUUUUAACCCUUGUAUAUAAUUUAUAAAUAUUUUUUGCUCAUAUUCUAUAAAAUAUAAUGAACAUUCAUGUUGAGCAAGCAUGUAUAUUCCAUAUGGUUUCCUGUUAGAUUCAUUUUGUUGCAUUGAGAGAUUAAAGCACUAAAAGAUGAUUAUUGCUGUAUAGAUAAUAAAAAGGACAUCAGCCAUCAUCGUAAUAUCCAUCAACACAAUAGCACUUUGAGCUUCUAUAAAUAUGUGGUGCCCUGCUGGCAUUCCAUAAACUAAAUUAUACAACCUAGUCCCCAGCAGUCUAUAAACUUAUGAUCAUCGACAAAAACAUGCCCUUAUAACCAACAAACAAACAUGAAAAAAGAUAAACUUUUAGAACAUACAUAAAUACCAAUAAUGAUCACCACUAAAAAAAUAUGUUUGGUAGGGUAGAAUUAUUUAUUAUGCUGGAAUUUUAAAGAAAUAAAACCAAAAGCUAAUGCCAUUCUAUUUUUAUGAAUUCCUUAAUUAACUUUAUGAAAUCCUUAAUUAACUUGACUGGCCAUUUCAGGAUGAGGAAGGAAAGAAUAUUCUGGUCACAUAAAUGAUAUAAAGUGCUUUACAUACCGUCUGAUGAUCAAAUAAAACCUGCACCUCAACAAAGCUUUCAAGAAUUCUUUUUUUUUCCAUUUACCUCUUGCAAUUGAGAGAACAAAAGCGUACACUCCUGCAUGAGGAAUAGCUGCCUUAUUUGGCUUGUCAGGCACUUUCAAAGUGGCUGAAUACUUAGAAAUGUAAAUAAUGAACACUUCUUGCAAACCUCAGGUAUCUUGAUAUGCGGGUGCUUUUUGUUGACUAAUGCAGUUCUGCAUGUGAAAAUGAGUAUUCAAAAAUCAUCAAACAAUCGAGCAUUGUUGUUUUAAGAAGAAAACGUUCCAUAUUCUUUAGAUUUAUCAGUAGGCUUCAUUUAUUAAGAUUUAUGAGCUAUACUUAAUGUCAAAGAGGAUGUAAGCGUUCAUAUUUUAUAAUUACAUCAACUCUUUCUUGUCAGAGAAACCAGGUAAUGUGUAUAUUAGAAUAUGUUUUUAGCUGACACACCCAUAGGAUAGUAGAGAGUUAGGUGGGUUUCCUCUCUACUCCCUACUCCAAACUGACCUAAGCUUAUGUUUGUAGAAUAAAGUCCUUUAGUAGACAACUUUUUACAAAAUAUGAUUUUUUAUAAACAAUAGACUAGAAUUCCUACCUUCAGAGAUUGGGGGAAAAUUAAUUGAGCAUAUAAAUGGAAUUGAUCAUCUAGUCUGUGUACUUCAUAAAUCCUCAAAAAAUAUUAAUCUUUUUGUUCUCAUAUUCUUUUUUCAAACCAAUUAAUUCAAUCAUAUUAAUAAUCAAGUUUUUUAGAACUCAGAAAAAAAGAAUGUUAGAAAUCAUCUACAUAUUAUUACAUUAUUACACAAAGGUCAAUUUUAUUUAAAAAAUAUUUUUCCUAGUUAAAUUUGUUGAGUUUUCACUGUUUUCUAGAACAGAAGCUCUAUAACUCACAUUAUUCAAAUAAAAUUCAUAUAAAUUAAAAUGAAAUUUUAAGGGGAAAUUGAAUGGUGUAUAGUUUUACGUUAAUAACAGACAUAUGUUCUGGUACCCAAACCAAAAGAUUCUCUGCCUAAGAAAGAUAAAAUAAAGUCCCCUCUGUAAUCUCAUUCAUAUGCAAAAUAAUAAGAGCAAAACACAGAGACAGCAGGCAACAAAACAAUAAUCAGCCACACCGAGAAAAUAGAGGGAGAUGAGAUCCAUAGGUUGUAAAGACCUUGAAUACUAUGUUGGAGGAAAACACUUCCUUGUGAACUUGAUCCACAAAAGAAGUUUUAGAGAAAAUGAACUUUUUUUCUCAGUUUUUAGCAAACAUUUAGUCUAAGGAAGUGAUACAAAUGAGAAUGGUUUGGGAUAAAGGCAGCACAAGUUUUAUAAAAGAAUAUCCUUAACAAAAAAAAAAAAAAAAAAAAAGAAUAUCCUUAGAAUAAGAAUGAGUAAAAGGAGACCAACCCGAAAUACAAAAGGCACUGUCUAGCUAAGUGUUGUUAGACAUCUAAGAUGAAGAAAUUUGAGAAUUUGUAUAAUAAUUUUAUUUAACUCUCUGCUUUUUUAGAUAUUAUUACCCCCAAAAAGAUUCAAAUAGAUAGGAUUUGUCAUUUUCAUUUAUUUAUUUAGAAAUAUUUAUGUCAAGUAAUUAUUCUAAGCAUAAUUAAAUAGAGUAAGAAAUUAUUACAGCUCAGAUUAGGGCUCAUAGAACAAAGGUAAGCAAUUUCAAUAAAAGGAACCUAUACAGUUACCUAAAAGUCUAAAAGGCCAUGGGAAAUAUAAUUAUGAAUGAUAAGUAAACUAUCCUCUAUAAACUAAGUUUGUAUAGUCUACAGGGGAGAUGAAAUAUGUGCUUAAGAAGUAAAACAGGAGGUUGAAAUUAUGUUUUUAAUGUAAAGAUAAACUGCUGAUUCAGCUAUAACAUUUGUUUUGAAAAUGUGGGCUUAUUCCAACAUGAUUGAUACAUUAGGGAUGAUUUGAGCUUAAUGCAAAUUUCAUGUUUGCUUAUGUGUAAUUUGCUCAGGUGAAUGCAGAAAACUGCACCUAGUUUGUGAAUCAUGAUGUGGGAAGAUACAAAAUGCACAGAACACCCACAGGCACCCCUCAGACAUCUGCGAACCACUUCGGUUCCCAGCCUGUUUCAUAAAACUCUCCAGCCACUUCACACCCCUCCAAAGCCCAGUCCGUUCUGGUCAUUCUCAAGAUAAAGUGCCAUUCUUGUAUUUUUCUAGCACGUAAUCAUCUAGCAUUUGUAAAAUGGUUCUACCAUAUAUAUUACACUCUUAUCUUUCAUUGUGUCUGUAUUACUCCGGAUGUUUUUGAGUAUUUUGCCCAACCUUACUUUUCCCAUACGUCCUAUGGAUCUGUAGGAGGGUUUCGCAUAGUGCAGUGCUACCUAGCAAUUCAUAUGGCACCUUAAAAUAGGUCAGAAGAAAUAGUAUUGUCAUAGAGUCAGAAAUAUUUACAAUGUUGUAUUUUUGCAAAACUUGAAAAAUAUUAUAGAGAAAUAAAAAAAAAAGGAAAGGGUUUUUCAACCCUCCGGUGACAGCAGGAAAACAAAAGUCACAGAGAGAAAGCAUGGAGCAUCCACGUUGAAAAACAAGGAAAUAAGCUGGUUUGGGCUAAAGGUUAUAGAAAUUGAAAAAGAAAUAAGGAUUUAUCCUUAGUGAAAAUAUCUUGAGAAGAUGCACGGUAUCUUAAUUACCACAUUAAAAUGCACUUAUUUUUUUUUCUCAAAACGUGUAAAGCAAAGAAGAUGAAAGAAUUUCCUUUCUGUGUCAUAGAGAAUAAUUUAAAUAGGUCAAACUAAGGAUUAUUUCAUCCUUUAGGAUCUCAAACAUUAUGAAGUUUACUGUAGAAUUUUGUUUGCUAGAAACUUAAAUAUACUGCAGAAAGAUAACCUAAGAUUGUAUUUCCCUAAAGGACUGUUUUGUAAUUUCUAAAGGAACUGAAGCAUUCUCAAGUUAUUUAACAUAGGGUUAGUAUGAUGAAACCUUUUUUACAUAAGGAUAGCCAUUCAUUCUCAAAUUCAGAGAGUACCUUUACUUCCGUACAUUUCUAUUUCUGCCAGGUCCUCUUGAACAAUAACAUUAGUGGUUGCCACAUUUUAAUCAUGUCUGACAGUGCAGAAGCUCCUUUUGGUUAGUUUCCUGGCCUUUAAUUAAUGGUAUUUCUUUACUUUACUCACUCCUUUUCAAUCUUCAUUCCUUGGAAAGAAGAUCAUUUCAAGUAGCAAGAACAGGAUGCUAAAACAGGUUGGGGGGAGGAGGGGCAAGACGGCGGAAGAGUAGGGUCCCCAGGUCACCUGUCCCCACCAAAUUACCUAGAUAACCUUCAAAUCAUCCUGAAAAUCUAUGAAUUCGGCCUGAGAUUUAAAGAGAGAAC